Polypterus senegalus (gray bichir) is the source of this 1291-nucleotide long non-coding RNA. RefSeq lists it as uncharacterized. The transcript is spliced from 4 exons. The record is from RefSeq and is a predicted model, not a curated record. Lineage: Eukaryota; Metazoa; Chordata; Cladistia; Polypteriformes; Polypteridae.
CCACCUGAAGGGAGAGUCGUUCACUGUGCCCAACAAUUGCUUCUGUUGUCUCAAAGGCUGACAAGAUCUGUUCUCUCCUUGGGACAGCUGGCCAACCCUUGAAUGCCAGUGCUUAUAAAGCAGGUCAGCAGGGCAGGCCAUAGCCAAAGCUGUCCAUUCAUUAGCCAGCUUAAUGAAGCUCGCUCUGUGCUCGGCUUGUUUGGGCAGCAUUAAAUAUGGUGCUUUAGUAGCUUUGCCAUUUUUUUUUCAUCUUAGGAUAAUCUGAACAAUGAUGGGAUUGUAUCUGGGCACCCAAGUGGAAUGUGCAUGGAUUUCAAAAGUGCCACACAUCACCAUCUGCUCCAGGGGCAGCACUGAAUUCAACCUCAUCUUAGACAGCUGAGAGAGCGACGAUGGAAAGAAGGAGGGCACAGAUGGCAUAGGUGGUGCCACACAGCUCCAGAGUCCCCAGUUCAAGUCCCAGUCCUGAACCUGUGUGUGGAAUCGCCCGUUCCCUUGGCAUAUGUGUGGCUUUCCUCUGAGUGCUCGAGCUUCCCAGUGACAUGAAGGUGAAUCUGGGUUACUGAGUGUGAAUUGAUGGACAAAAAUAGAAAAGGCAUCCAUUUAAACUUAAACCUCCAACACAAUAAAGUGUGCAGAAAGUGAAGGGGUCUGAAAAUUUCGUUAAGCCACCGCAUAUCUGAACAUUUUCAGGAAAAGGAAGACAGAAGAUUUGGGUGAAAGGUCUAGGCAAACUGAUUCAGAAGGUGACGUGGCAAAGUGAAAAAGAAGAGCAGUACAACCAGCUGAGUGUGAAACAAAUUGCAGAAACCGAUUACAUAAAUCAGAGAAGAAUGACAGCUCCGACAUCCGCAUUGCAUGAAGCACAUUCAACGUGGCAAACUGCUGGCGCUCGUGGACUACUGGGACUAGAAGUUUGACUUUGGGAGAACUGGAGCUGGAAGGAAGAAAAAUAAACUGCCCUUACCUGUUCCAGCAUCCAAAAUGGCCUCUGCUACAUUUCCUUUACCUGUUACCAUUUUGAUGAUGUCACUUCCUUUGUUUCCUUCGAAGACGUCACUUCCUUUGUUUCAAUUUCCUGUCCCCAUUUUAUUUGUAUAAAUAAUCCCCGCGUUUCGGUAGCGGGUUGUUUUGAACCCUUUGUUUAAAAUGUUUUUCUUUGACCUUGUCCACGUACAUUAUACGGGGCAUUUGCCCAACUCUUCGAAAUGAUUUGGAGUGUUUAAUUUCUCCACAGUCUUCUUUAAUUGGGAACUUAAAGUGAGGAAAAAAUAAAAAUUUAUAAGGGAAA